This is a long non-coding RNA of Anas platyrhynchos (mallard), 4341 nucleotides long. RefSeq lists it as uncharacterized. Lineage: Eukaryota; Metazoa; Chordata; Aves; Anseriformes; Anatidae. The record is from RefSeq and is a predicted model, not a curated record.
CCGAGCUCCAGUUCUCACUGCUCGCCUGUCCAGGUGGCUGGCUGCUAGCCUGGCUGCAAAUGGGAAACAUCUACACACGAUGACAAAGAACCAGGGCUGGGAUAUCUCUGUGGUCUGGAAAGCAAUGUGACUCUGCUUAUGACUGGCACAGGAAUGACAGCACCAGCCUGUGCUAAAGUGCUGUGCUAGUGUUUAAGAGAUCAGACGAAGCUUUAUUCCUGAGCACAGGCUAAUGUGUAAACACCAAGCUUUGGAGGCAAGCCUGGGCUUAAAUGCAUGCCCAGACCUGUGCUUAACAGAGUGCAAGCCCAGCUAUGUGACUCCAGCAGGGUCAGGAUGCGGCUAUUAAGACUACCAACCUCCCCUGUGAAAACAGCCAACAACCUCUAGCUUCUUAUUUUAGUGUUACCUAACAGAAAUAGGCAGCAUACGCCUUUGACAGCCUCUGAAGCUUUUGUUUUGUGAAGCUAUACAAUUUUCCAGGAUUACCACACAGUGUCAUCAGGGAAGAGGAAUACAAAUAUCCUUAAGUCAUGCAACAGUAAGGACCCAAACUCCUUGCUGUUUUACCAAGCAAGCUCACAACUGAAGUCUUGUGCCCUUGCUUACUCCAACUGUUCACAUGCUUAACAGCUCAGAUUUAGAAGGAAUUCCCUACAUUUUUUCUUCCACUCUCUGAGUGCCUCAUCUAGCUCAGGUUUCAGAGAUAACUGACUCUUAAGAGAUUUCCCAGGAACCGUUCAGUUCUUGAAGAAUCCAGACAACUGGGACAACACCAUGUUUAACCUAGCGAGAAGGGAACAGAGUGGAUUUUAUACUAUGUGGGUCACUCCUGUGAGAUUCCCAGUUUGGAUUAACCCAGAUUUCAAUGAUUGCUUUCUUAUUACAGAGGAAAGUAAGUGCAAUUCAUGAAUAAUAGUAACAAAAAGUGCUCUAUCUAAUUUCUCCUGUAUAUUCAAAUCAAAUAAAAGCUUCACAAAGUUUAGGUUCAGAUAGCUGGGAUCCAUAAAGACAGAAAAACAACAAAGCAUCCCUAAACCUGAUCCAGAAGUAGUCUUCCCUGGAGUUUCGUCCAUCAUUGCUUGGCUCAAAAUCAUGGCAGGUGGUGGGUUCGACAGCUUCUGACAGGGGAUAACCUCUGUUAGAAGCACAAGGAUUUCUUAAUUGCAUAAGUCUUUUCUGGAAAAUAAACUAUAAAUGUUUUAAACAAAAAGUAGAUAAAAAUUGAAGAUGGAAAUACAGAAUCAUAACACAGCAAGAUUAGCCCUUAACCCACAGGAUCCUAUUAGUCCCUUUUUAACUCUGCUAUGCAAGUGCAAUUACAAAUAGCCUCAGAAGAUGUGCAGAGGCUCAAGGAACAAAAUGGAUUUUUGAUCUGCAAAAAAAGGAUUUUUGUUUGGCUAGUUCUGUAUUUGCUAUGCACUUUAAUCUGGGCCCAUUGCUUAUAGGAGAUAAAUGUAAUUUCAUAUAAAGCUGCAUAAACUAAAUAAUGUCUGUGUUUGUACAGAGGACUUAUCUGUUCACUGAUGUGAAAUGAAAUGAACAAUUUGUCAUUACCUACUUGCUGAUUAUUUUUUUUUUUACAUUUUAGAACACGUAAACAGAGCGCACUUGUUUAUCCAACCUGCGAUAAUGCCAGAAGUCACCUCCCUCAUAUCCUGCCACACAGACUUGAGGACAAACUGUGACUGCAACUGAGGCAAGGCACAUAAGGCAAGCUGGGCACUGCUACGAACAGUGCACAUUGAGUGGCUGCAGUAAUUUCAUACAGCAGGAUUUAACAGGAACGAAGGGAGCUACGGUGUUUCUAGAACACAAAGCAGUAUGACAAACUCAAGAAUGAAAUAUAAAAUGGCUGAAACUCAUUGAAGCACGGAAAAAUAACUCUGGAUGGAGCUGUGGAUUGUACUGUUAUAGGUAAUGGAGCAGAGUAAAAAAAGAACCCUCCGUGAUGCUCUCACCUACCCCAGGAAAGAUGUCACCUCCUCUACCAGGAAAAGAUGGAACAAUAGGAGUUGGCCUACCUGCUUAACAUGGUCUGUCUCCACACUGCAUUUGUAUUUGAGAUCCAACUAGUCAUAGUCAUUGUGCCAUCCCCUUUUUAUUUAAAGAAUAAAAGCUUACUACACUGGUACCACUCCCAACACCAGGCUUUGUUUGGCUUAUUCACUCAGCAUACAUACAAACUUCGCAUGACUGGGAUGUUUUGGAAUGAAAAAUGUGACUUGUCAACCCUUGAUCUCUAUAAAACUGAUGCAGAUCAUCAGAAUAUGAGUCUACUGUGUCCUGUGAGGUGCUCCCAACUACUUUGCCAGCUAUGGGUGUGCUGCUCUUGUAGAUAUGAAUGCAGAGCAAGGAAGACAUGCAGCUUCUAUUUUGGUAAUAACUGGUUUGCUAAUACGCAAUUUGAUAGCUUAUUUUUCAGACCACAACAGUCCCACUGCCCACAAAGCUCAAAAGGAACAGUAACAAAGAUCCUCUGGAAAAAUCAGGAAAAUAAAUAUCACAUAAGGCAGACCAAUUAAUUUGUCCACUAUACAGACAUUCAACUGCAAUACGCUGAAGAGCAUACAGCACAAGCUGAAUUGAGCAUUUUAAGAACAUAGGUGUUCAAUUUUAAAAGCAGUCUUUCUUUGGCUAGAAUAUUAAUAACGUGUUUUUAUAAACAGAAGUUUUGCUUUUUAAUGUUAUUACUGUCAUGAGGCACAUGCACCCGACAUUGCAUCUCUUCUUUUCAACUUGGCCUCAGGUUUUAAAACGGUAUUCUUAAAUAUAAACAAUAAUAACACUCCAUUGAAAGCAAUUUUUAAGACCUACGGGUCACACUGUCAGCCUAAAGGGAGAAGAGGGAAUUAAGAACUGAAAGAGAGAAAUAUUCCAGUAAUAAAAGCUACAGCAGAAUAGAUGGCAAAGCAAGUGCUGCACUCCAGCUCUUUAAAGCUGCGUGUGUCACGAUCUAUUCAACUGUAUAUCAGCACAAACUUUCUGUAGAGCUAACAGGCCCUUUGUGUCUCACAAAGUACGAGUACGUAUGGGAGUAUAUGCCUCAAGUAGUUUCUUUUUCUUCAGUUCUGAAAGCACGGAAAAAUAAAUUUUGAGGAAGUGUUUUAGGAUGCUUGCUCUGGAAAAUUACUACCAGAAACUAAACAAAUCCAUGCCAGAACACAGCCCUGAAGAAUUACAAUAUCCCUCGAGCAAAUGGAGAAGACAAAGAUGACCCUGCAUGUCACUGCAGACUACCAACACCAGUACACAGACCAGCAGACACUUCAGCAGUGUGUUUGUGGAAAGUGUCAGCAAUCGGUCAGGCCCGGAGCAGUCGUGUGUAAUAAAGCUCAUCUGUUAUGGGUACCUACCUGUGUGGCAUAGCUAGGCACAGACAGCGUUUUCUUCUUGCUAAAAAUACUUUCUUCCCCUCUCUAAAAUGACAAAAGUAUAACUUUGCCUGACCUAUUUUUCGUCCUUAUUCAUUCUGUGGAAAUCUUGCAAAGCUGACACCUAAUUUCCAGGUGCUGUUGCUUAGCUUCCUAAAAUAUUAAUACAAGUGUAAUAAUUAUCCCUUUUCAUCAUCACAUAGGACAGGCAACAGAUGCAAAGACUACAAUCACAUCAGCACCCUCCUAUCUGAGGCAUGUUUAUGAUAUCAGAAGAUCCCUCUACCACUGUCAAUCAAUAAGCUGUACUACACAGAUGCGUUUUAUGUCAUGAGCUAAUCAGAUGUUAUACUGGUCUAGUGUAAUUGUACCUGCAGAGACCCACAGUAGAGCACAAAAAUUACAGGGAAAAUAUGGACUAAAAUCCAGAGUGUCUGAUAAGGUAGCCACCAUAGCUAACUGGACUCCUUUCUCAAGUGACAAGAGAUAGGAUGUGAAGAAAUGGCCUCAGGGUGCACCAGGGGAGGUGUAGAUCGGAUGUUAGGAAGAAUUUCUUCACACAGAGGGUGGCCAAGCACUGGAACGGGCUGCCAAGGGCAGUGUGGGAGCCCCCAUCACUGGAAUUAUUUAAGAGGUGUGUGGAUGUGGCAAUCAGGGAUCUGGAUUAGUAAUGGGACUCUACAGGUCAAGUUGAUGGUUGGGCUUGAUGAUCUGGAAGGUCUUUUCCAGCCUAGAUGAUUCUAUGAUGAUUCUCUGUUGUGGUUAGUGCAUUCAAGAGUGGUGCCAGGUAGAGAUAGAAGCCUUCAAUGAAUGGGGUGCACCACGGGUGCUGGUUCUGACAUGGGUUUAGAAAGAAGAAAGGAAUGAGAUGAGCACAGAUGUAAGACUGGUGAUGGAGAGUGUCAGGGAACUACUGAGUAACAGGAAAAUUUCAAACAUCUUGUAAAUGUUCUGGAUGAUUUCAAAC